RNAcentral lists this ribosomal RNA (382 nucleotides) under uncultured eukaryote. RNAcentral describes it as "partial 18S ribosomal RNA". It matches the Rfam family "Eukaryotic small subunit ribosomal RNA", at positions 592 to 976 of the family's 1831-position model. The record is from RNAcentral.
CAAUAGCGUAUAUUAAAGUUGUUGCAGUUAAGAAGCUCGUAGUUGGAUUUCUGGUGGGAGCGAUCGGUCUGGCGCUUAGCGCGAGUACUUGCAUCGUCUCCGGCCAUCCUUGGGGAGAGUCUGUCUGGCAUUAGGUUGUCGGGCAGAGGAUCCUCAUCGUUUACUGUGAAAAAAUUAGAGUGUUCAAAGCAGGCUUAUGCCGUUGAAUAUAUUAGCAUGGAAUAAUAAGAUAGGACUUUGGUACUAUUUUGUUGGUUUGCGCACCAAAGUAAUGAUUAAUAGGGACAGUUGGGGGUAUUCGUAUUCCGUUGUCAGAGGUGAAAUUCUUGGAUUACGGAAGACGAACUACUGCGAAAGCAUUUACCAAGGAUGUUUUCAUUAA